CCCAGACUCCUACGGGAGGCAGCAGUGGGGAAUAUUGCACAAUGGGGGAAACCCUGAUGCAGCAACGCCGCGUGAGUGAAGAAGUCAUUCGUGAUGUAAAGCUCUAUCAGCAGGGAAGAAAAUGACGGUACCUGAGUAAGAAGCCCCGGCUAACUACGUGCCAGCAGCCGCGGUAAUACGUAGGGGGCAAGCGUUAUCCGGAAUUACUGGGUGUAAAGGGAGCGUAGACGGUGAUGUAAGUCUGGAGUGAAAGGCGGGGGCCCAACCCCCGGACUGCUCUGGAAACUAUGUGACUGGAGUGCAGGAGAGGUGAGCGGAAUUCCUAGUGUAGCGGUGAAAUGCGUAGAUAUUAGGAGGAACACCAGUGGCGAAGGCGGCUCACUGGACUGUAACUGACGUUGAGGCUCGAAAGCGUGGGGAGCAAACAGGAUUAGAUACCCUGGUA
RNAcentral lists this ribosomal RNA (445 nucleotides) under uncultured bacterium. RNAcentral's name for it is "bacterial SSU rRNA". It matches the Rfam family "Bacterial small subunit ribosomal RNA", at positions 330 to 792 of the family's 1533-position model. The record is from RNAcentral.